GUCCUCUUGUUUUGUUUAGGAGGUCAAGCCUGCCCAGUGAUUGUUUUUAACGGCCGCGGUAUUUUGACCGUGCAAAGGUAGCAUAAUCAUUAGUCUUUUAAUAGGAGGCUGGAAUGAAAGGUUUAACGAAACAUAAACUGUCUCGUUUUUAUAAUAUAUAAUUUAAUUUUUAAGUUAAAAAGCUUAAAUUUUGUUGUAGGACGAGAAGACCCUAUAGAGCUUUACAUUUUUCAUUUUUAGUGAGGUUUAGUUUAUAAUUUUGUGCUAUUUUUGUAAUUGUUUUGUUGGGGUGACAAAAAUAUAUAAGAAACUUUUUUAUAUUAUAUACAUACAAUUUGUGGUCUUUAGAUCCAUUAUUAUUGAUUGUUAGAUUAAGUUACCUUAGGGAUAACAGCGUAAUCUUCCUUUGAAGUUCAAAUUUACAGGAAGGCUUGCGACCUCGAUGUUGGAUUAAGAUAAUUAUUAGGUGCAGUAGCUUAAUUAAUAGGUCUGUUCGACCUUUAAAUUCUUACAUGAUCUGAGUUCAGACCGG
This 532-nucleotide ribosomal RNA is filed under the name Onychargia atrocyana. Its description in RNAcentral is "partial 16S ribosomal RNA". It matches the Rfam family "Bacterial large subunit ribosomal RNA", at positions 1830 to 2619 of the family's 2925-position model. The record is from RNAcentral. Lineage: Eukaryota; Metazoa; Arthropoda; Insecta; Odonata; Platycnemididae.